UGGGGAAUAUUGCACAAUGGGCGCAAGCCUGAUGCAGCCAUGCCGCGUGUGUGAAGAAGGCCUUCGGGUUGUAAAGCACUUUCAGCGGGGAGGAAGGCGAUAAGGUUAAUAACCUUGUCGAUUGACGUUACCCGCAGAAGAAGCACCGGCUAACUCCGUGCCAGCAGCCGCGGUAAUACGGAGGGUGCAAGCGUUAAUCGGAAUUACUGCGCGUAAAGCGCACGCAGGCGGUCUGUCAAGUCGGAUGUGAAAUCCCCGGGUUCAACCUGGGAACUGCAUUGGAAACUGGCAGUCUAGAGUCUUGUAGAGGGGGGUAGAAUUCCAGGUGUAGCGGUGAAAUGCGUAGAGAUCUGGAGGAAUACCGGUGGCGAAGGCGGCCCCCUGGACAAAGACUGACGAUCAGGUGCGAAAGCGUGGGGAGCAAACAGG
This 429-nucleotide ribosomal RNA is filed under the name Chloroflexota bacterium. RNAcentral's name for it is "Chloroflexi bacterium partial 16S ribosomal RNA". It matches the Rfam family "Bacterial small subunit ribosomal RNA", at positions 355 to 776 of the family's 1533-position model. Lineage: Bacteria; Bacillati; Chloroflexota. The record is from RNAcentral.